GUGAGGAAUAUUGGUCAAUGGGCGAGAGCCUGAACCAGCCAAGUCGCGUGAAGGAAGAAGGAUCUAUGGUUCGUAAACUUCUUUUGCAGGGGAAUAAAGUGCAGGACGUGUCCUGUUUUGUAUGUACCCUGAGAAUAAGGAUCGGCUAACUCCGUGCCAGCAGCCGCGGUAAUACGGAGGAUCCGAGCGUUAUCCGGAUUUAUUGGGUUUAAAGGGUGCGUAGGUGGUUUGAUAAGUCAGCGGUGAAAGUUUGCAGCUUAACUGUAAAAAUGCCGUUGAAACUGUCGGACUUGAGUGUAAAUGAGGUAGGCGGAAUGCGUGGUGUAGCGGUGAAAUGCAUAGAUAUCACGCAGAACUCCGAUUGCGAAGGCAGCUUACUAAGCUACAACUGACACUGAAGCACGAAAGCGUGGGGAUCAAACAGGAUUAGAUACCCCUGUAGUCC
This 445-nucleotide ribosomal RNA is filed under the name uncultured bacterium. RNAcentral's name for it is "partial 16S ribosomal RNA". It matches the Rfam family "Bacterial small subunit ribosomal RNA", at positions 354 to 796 of the family's 1533-position model. The record is from RNAcentral.